RNAcentral lists this small nucleolar RNA (112 nucleotides) under Echinops telfairi (small Madagascar hedgehog). Its description in RNAcentral is "Small nucleolar RNA SNORA61 (ENSETEG00000026026.1)". The record is from RNAcentral. Lineage: Eukaryota; Metazoa; Chordata; Mammalia; Afrosoricida; Tenrecidae.
ACCCUCCAGACCCCUUACCUAUCAGAUCUAAACAUCGGUCUGACUGGCUAUAAAAGGAAGAAAAGGAAAGAAGAAAGUCAACCCUAUCCUACCCAGCUGCCUGCGAGCAAGC